Molecule: ribosomal RNA, 736 nt
Filed under: Bradyrhizobium sp. UFSM-B21
Lineage: Bacteria; Pseudomonadati; Pseudomonadota; Alphaproteobacteria; Hyphomicrobiales; Nitrobacteraceae
Description: bacterial SSU rRNA
Rfam family: Bacterial small subunit ribosomal RNA
Source: RNAcentral
GCAAAAGGGGGGCCCCAUACCAUGCCCUCCCGAGCGGGCGUAGCAAUACGUCAGCGACAGACGGGUGAGUAACGCGUGGGAACGUACCUUUUGGUUCGGAACAACACAGGGAAACUUGUGCUAAUACCGGAUAAGCCCUUACGGGGAAAGAUUUAUCGCCGAAAGAUCGGCCCGCGUCUGAUUAGCUAGUUGGUAGGGUAAUGGCCUACCAAGGCGACGAUCAGUAGCUGGUCUGAGAGGAUGAUCAGCCACAUUGGGACUGAGACACGGCCCAAACUCCUACGGGAGGCAGCAGUGGGGAAUAUUGGACAAUGGGGGCAACCCUGAUCCAGCCAUGCCGCGUGAGUGAUGAAGGCCCUAGGGUUGUAAAGCUCUUUUGUGCGGGAAGAUAAUGACGGUACCGCAAGAAUAAGCCCCGGCUAACUUCGUGCCAGCAGCCGCGGUAAUACGAAGGGGGCUAGCGUUGCUCGGAAUCACUGGGCGUAAAGGGUGCGUAGGCGGGUCUUUAAGUCAGGGGUGAAAUCCUGGAGCUCAACUCCAGAACUGCCUUUGAUACUGAAGAUCUUGAGUUCGGGAGAGGUGAGUGGAACUGCGAGUGUAGAGGUGAAAUUCGUAGAUAUUCGCAAGAACACCAGUGGCGAAGGCGGCUCACUGGCCCGAUACUGACGCUGAGGCACAAAGCGUGGGGAGCAAACAGGGAUUAGAUACCCUGGUAGUCCACGCCGUAACGAUGAAU